GCCGGAGUGGUGGAAUGGCAGACACGGGUGACUCAAAAUCACUUGCGGGCAACCGCGUGGGGGUUCGAAUCCCUUCUCCGGCACCC
Molecule: transfer RNA, 86 nt
Filed under: Armatimonadota bacterium
Lineage: Bacteria; Bacillati; Armatimonadota
Description: Armatimonadetes bacterium (hot springs metagenome) tRNA-Leu
Rfam family: tRNA
About the family: Transfer RNA (tRNA) molecules are approximately 80 nucleotides in length.
Source: RNAcentral